AUGUACUCAAGAAGGACACUGCUUCACACUCCUUCAUUCUCUGGGGGGCAGCCCUCCGGACCAAGCCAGCCGGUGACCGACGGCGGCGCUCCGGGAAGCAACUUCGACGCGAACGUGGUGAUGAUCCUCGCCGUCCUCCUCUGCGCGCUCAUAUGCGCGCUGGGGCUCAACUCGAUCGUCCGGUGCGCGCUCCGGUGCUCGAGCCGGGCGGCGGCGGCGGACGCGGAGCCCAGCCGGGUGGCGCGGCUGGCCAAGGGCGGGCUGAGGAGGAAGGCCGUCCGGGCCAUGCCGAUCAUGGUCUACUCCGCGGGGCUGAAGCUCAACACCGCCUGCCCGAUGUGCACCAUCUGCCUCUCGGACUUCGAGGCCGGGGAGCACGUCAAGGUCCUCCCCAAGUGCAACCAUGGCUUCCACGUCAGAUGCAUUGACCGGUGGCUCCUCGCGCGCUCCACCUGCCCGACGUGCCGCCAGUCCUUGUUCGCCGAGCCGCACAAGGCGUGUGGGUGCUCCGAGGCCAGCCAGGUCGACCCGGCGCGUGUCCACUCUGUGCUUGUGCCGCUCAGGCCUGAAGGUUUGAUCACCACGUAUGAUUUUUAG
RNAcentral lists this ribosomal RNA (597 nucleotides) under Triticum aestivum (bread wheat). RNAcentral describes it as "partial small subunit ribosomal RNA". The record is from RNAcentral. Lineage: Eukaryota; Viridiplantae; Streptophyta; Magnoliopsida; Poales; Poaceae.